CAGGCGGGGCUUGGGGCAAGGCCCAGUGCCUGCCUAGUGUCCCCACGAAGGGAGAGCAGGAGACCCACAUGGGGGAUGCCUGGAGCAAAGGGGAAGGGAGGAGGCUCAUGGACCCUCCCUGCUCAGAGUUCCCCCCGCUCUACGUCCCUCUGUGUUAAAGGUAAAGGCCCUACCUGUGCUCAGGUACCCUCUCCUCCCAAGCCACCUGGCCUCCUCACUCUGCUUCCCUCCUUAGCAGUUCUGCCCUCCUCACUGACCAAGACAUUUCUCUGUGCACACUCUGGGGGGGGGCCCGAGGCCUGCCCUCUCGGCAGGAGGACGAAUGCUGGGGAGGCAGGGACCGCGCUGCCCUGGGCACAUGCCCAUUCCCCUGGAGCCCCAGGCCCUGCUCUCCAUGCCAGGACACAGGCAGGGUCAGCAAAGGUGAAGGCGGGAACACAGGAGGCCGAGAGCCACAGAUACUGCCCAAGAGGAGCCUCCUGAGCGGCCAUCUGAGAGGAAGCCUCUCCCUGCCAAGGACGCCCAACAGGCCCUACCUGGCGAUGAGCAGCUCCACCAGGUGCAGGUGGCCGCAGGUGGCCGCAGCAUGCAGAGGCGUCCAGCACUCACUGUCACAGGCAUUGAUGUUGGCCCCAGCCUCCAGGAGCUGCUGCACCAUCUCUCGGAAAUCAUCAAUGCAGCACUGCAAACCGUGCCACGUGAGCGACCAGAGCACGGGGGCCAGCCCCCACCCUGCCCACACCCAGUGCAGGCUGACCUGGUGCAGGGCCGUCAGGCCGUCCUCGUUGGCCAAGUCAGGGCUGACCCCACUCCCAAGGAACUGGCGGACUGCAAAAAGGUGGCGAGGCCUCCCGGGAGGGCUCCUGUCCACAUGGAAAGAUGCAGGCCAGACACUGCCGGCUCCUCUUUACUCUCUGCUCCGGAGGGAGGCAGGAAGGAGUCUCAAGGGCCACCACAGUGCCUCUUCCCCCAAGACUCCAGAGCACCAGAAGUGGAACCCACACAGCUGGGGCUGCAAGCGUGGGGCACAGGUCAUUUCGGGCAGCGGCCUCCAGAAGGACAACACUGGGAGGGAAGAGGACCUGCUUCAGGAGCCCUUGGCUGGCUGCCUCCU
This 1114-nucleotide long non-coding RNA is filed under the name Homo sapiens (human). RNAcentral describes it as "HSALNT0350729". Lineage: Eukaryota; Metazoa; Chordata; Mammalia; Primates; Hominidae. The record is from RNAcentral.